CACUCUGGUGGCCUAGUGAUUAGAGCGUCCGCCUCGGAUGCGGGAGGUCGUGGAUUCGAUCCCCUGUCGAGUCA
Non-coding RNA from Potamilus streckersoni, 74 nucleotides. Lineage: Eukaryota; Metazoa; Mollusca; Bivalvia; Unionida; Unionidae. The record is from the annotation of a GenBank genome assembly.